GGAUUGCCUUAGUAACGGCGAGUGAAGCGGCAAUAGCUCAGAUUUGAAAUCUGGUCCUUUUAGGAUCCGAGUUGUAAUCUGUAGAGGAUGCUUCGGUGUUAGCUCCGGCCUAAGUUCCUUGGAACAGGACGUCAUAGAGGGUGAGAAUCCCGUAUGUGGUCGGUCGUUUUCACCAUGUGAAGCUCCUUCGACGAGUCGAGUUGUUUGGGAAUGCAGCUCUAAAUGGGAGGUAAAUUUCUUCUAAAGCUAAAUAUUGGCCAGAGACCGAUAGCGCACAAGUAGAGUGAUCGAAAGAUGAAAAGCACUUUGGAAAGAGAGUUAAAAAGCACGUGAAAUUGUUGAAAGGGAAGCGCUUGCAACCAGACUUGAUUAUGAUGGCUUAUCCGAGACUUUGGCUCGGUGCACUCCUUCAUGGUCAGGCCAGCAUCAGUUCGGGCGGCUGGUUAAAGGUUCCGGGAAUGUGGCUCUCUUCGGGGAGUGUUAUAGCCCGGUUCACAAUACAGUCAGCCUGGACUGAGGUCCGCGCUUCGGCUAGGAUGCUGGCGUAAUGGUUGUAAGCGGCCC
RNAcentral lists this ribosomal RNA (564 nucleotides) under uncultured fungus. Its description in RNAcentral is "eukaryotic LSU rRNA". It matches the Rfam family "Eukaryotic large subunit ribosomal RNA", at positions 72 to 650 of the family's 3401-position model. Lineage: Eukaryota; Fungi. The record is from RNAcentral.